UGUCCUGUGGUGUAACGGCAGCACAUCUGGUUUUGGUCCAGAGAAUUGAGGUUCGAAUCCUUGCGGGACAA
This 71-nucleotide transfer RNA is filed under the name Candidatus Magnetobacterium bavaricum. It matches the Rfam family "tRNA". From Rfam's summary of the family: Transfer RNA (tRNA) molecules are approximately 80 nucleotides in length. Their secondary structure includes four short double-helical elements and three loops (D, anti-codon, and T loops). Lineage: Bacteria; Pseudomonadati; Nitrospirota; Thermodesulfovibrionia; Thermodesulfovibrionales; Magnetobacteriaceae (SeqCode). The record is from Rfam by way of RNAcentral.